This 541-nucleotide ribosomal RNA is filed under the name uncultured bacterium. RNAcentral describes it as "partial 16S ribosomal RNA". It matches the Rfam family "Bacterial small subunit ribosomal RNA", at positions 355 to 886 of the family's 1533-position model. The record is from RNAcentral.
UGGGGAAUAUUGGACAAUGGGCGCAAGCCUGAUCCAGCAAUGCCGCGUGUGUGAAGAAGGCCUUCGGGUUGUAAAGCACUUUUAUCAGGAGCGAAACGCUGUCGGCUAAUACCCGGCGGAACUGACGGUACCUGAGGAAUAAGCACCGGCUAACUUCGUGCCAGCAGCCGCGGUAAUACGAAGGGUGCAAGCGUUAAUCGGAAUUACUGGGCGUAAAGCGUGCGUAGGCGGUUUCUUAAGUCUGCUGUGAACUCCCCGGGCUCAACCUGGGAAUGGCAGUGGAUACUGGGAGGCUAGAGUGUGUCAGAGGGUGGUGGAAUUCCCGGUGUAGCGGUGAAAUGCGUAGAGAUCGGGAGGAACAUCAGUGGCGAAGGCGGCCACCUGGGACAACACUGACGCUGAGGCACGAAAGCGUGGGGAGCAAACAGGAUUAGAUACCCUGGUAGUCCACGCCCUAAAGCGAUGCGAACUGGAUGUUGGUCUCAACUCGGAGAUCAGUGUCGAAGCUAACGCGUUAAGUUCGCCGCCUGGGGAGUACGGU